This 2677-nucleotide long non-coding RNA is filed under the name Sus scrofa (pig). Its description in RNAcentral is "lncRNA (ENSSSCG00025010517.1)". The record is from RNAcentral. Lineage: Eukaryota; Metazoa; Chordata; Mammalia; Artiodactyla; Suidae.
GAGUCCUCACUAACAGGUGGGCCGGCCCUUCCCAACCAUCUGGCAGGACGGCUCAGACCCGAGGAAACAGAAGCCCAGGGCUGCAAAGCCAGCGAGAGAGGAUGGGAAGGGCGCAGGUGCAUGCAGGUGCAUGAUCACGAGAAGCUCAAAGCUCUCCGCAUGAGGCCCUCCUUGGGAUCUCGCUGCCUGUUCACACAGCUCCUCCCACGUCGCAAAGUCCAUCCACAUCCAGACCUCACAGCCACCUGCACACAAGGCAUAAUGCUGUUCCUUCCUUCAGGUGCGCUCUGGACUCUGGUAAGGGCAGCUGGUGCACUGCGGGGCUCACAGAGUUCUCUGGAGGCCAGGUCGAGGAGGAGGGCAUGGGCCACACCCCUGCUGCCCUGGGGGACUCCCCAAGGCCCCUCACUGCUGUUCAUCACGCCUGCAACCCACAGAUGCUCACAAAAGUCUCUGGAAGGAACUGCCUUUAUCAGAGCCGAUUCUUAACCACACCAGAGACUGACUCUCCUUAUUGGGAAGAACUCCUGACUCAUACUCGAACCAAUUCAAAUGCCAUAUUCCUGAUUUGAUUCGAUGGACUUUUGCCUUUCAACCAUUUCUCAAAGGUGACUUUUCCAUAAAGGAUGAAGAAUGGCUUUCCCUGGGGAAUCCUAGGAACAGACCACAGGCUCUGAAGGCAUUUCUGGGAGAUACUUUAAGGCAGUGGCUCUCAACCUUGGCUGCCUCUGAAGCCAAACAGGAAGAUUGAAAACAAAAUACAGACCCCAAACCUCACUCUCAGAAAUUCGGGUGUAGGAAGUCUAAGGCACAGGCUGGUGGAGAGAUUUUUGCUCCCCAGGUGAUUCUAAUGCAUAACCAGGGCAGGAACCGGGACCAGAAACAUACCUACUGCGCUCCCCGUCCCAGUGGGGUCAGACGCCUACCUGGACGUUAUAAAUUUUGGAAAUUUGCACAGCCUUCCUCGUCAUAGCUGACCACGAAUGGGUGGCUUGCCCAAGAUCUCAGAGCUGGAAGUACCAGCUCGGCCUCCUUCAAUACUUGUUGAUGGAGUUCCCGUCGUGGCGCAGUGGUUAACGAACCAGACUCGUAUCCAUGAGGAUGCAAGUUCAAUCCCUGCCCUUGCUCAGUGGGUUAAGGAUCAGGCAUUGCUGUGAGCUGUGGGCGGCAGCUACAGCUCCGGUCCGACCCCUAGCCUGGGGACCUCCAUAGGCUGGGGGUACGGCCCUAAAAAAGACCAAAACAAUGAAUUUUAAAAAUGAUAUUUACUGAGCACCUGUGUCCUGGGCAAUCUCCUAACAAUCAGAAGAUUUUACAAAUCUCUGGAUUUGGGGCCACCGCCACGCAACACUUGCGCAAGGCAGGGCCUACUUGUCGCUGGGUCGGUGGUGCCCUUCCUUGGACCCGCAGGCCCUCUUGGGGCUACCCCUUCUCCAUCCCACGUGGCCUGUUGACUUGACCGAUCUGGCCAUGCCACAUCCACUUUUGUGAGGCCUGCAUUACCCCACGGAUGGAGGGGAAGAACACCCACUUAGAUGCCUAUCUCAUCCCUACUGGAAAAAUCAGUCUUUGCUUUUACCUAAAGAAACGGGAGCCAGACCCGAUACACAACUGUGGAAAUCCAGCCGAUAAUGACAGAAGGGAAGCACCACACGGACCGUGUCUCUUCAUCUCAAACCGCCUUCAGAUGCCCAACCCACUGGCGUCAGAAACCUCCAGGGCCCUUCCCCUUCUGUCUCCACCCAACCCGGCUGCUCAACCAGGUCCUGAAAAUAGUCUGGAUAUCAAACCCAGAUCGGUGGCCACCAGGCAGGCAACACAGAAACCCCUGAGCACAGGAAGCACUGUUCCUACUGCCUUUCAGAAUGAUCCGUGGAGAGGCCGCAUUAAAAGGGAAAAUGCCAUCCCACCGUAGAAUGAGACUAUCAAGGGGCAGAACGCAACCCAGCGCAUACACACACACGGGUGGAAACCGUGAAAUACGUUCACGUACAUCCACCGAGGGCCAGAAGGGAAUGCGAAGGAUCCACGUAAUUUUCGUUUUGUUAAUUAGCCUCUUUCAAAAAAAAAGGGCCUUCAUGUUACCAGUUCUCUAAAAAAUGAUGCAAAAAAAUUACUCGCAACUUCCUCAUCUGCAAGAUGGAAUAACAAUGGUACCUGGAGUGCAGGAAUCUGAGAGAACUGAAAGGGUUCGUUGAGAUGCAGCACUGGCACGGAGCCAAAGACGCAAUCUUUGCGAUUUUUGUUAGUAUUCAGGCUCCGAGGCAAUUUAUCGUUCCCUUCCCCUCUUCCUUUGCCCAAAAGAAGCGAAUGAAGUGGGUCUACGGACUGCCCGUGACCUCUGCCCAUGACCUCUGCCCAUGACCUUUGCCCAUGAAAUAAAGAUGACCACAUUCAGCUGUGACAUUCUUUCUAAGUAUCAACUCAUGGUUUUGAAUGCUUCCGUGACGGCAGCGUCUAUUACAGAGAAGGUAUUUUGGUCCAAUUCUCUGGCUGGAAGAGCUCUACGGAGGUGCGUGUUUAACCGUCUGUCUGCUUUUCUCUCUCCCUGCAAAGGCUUAUAAACUCCAGGAUGGGAAACGUGCCUAAUUCCUUCCUGCCCCUGCAGUGCCCAGCCCAGUAGCUGGAAGUCACUAAACAUUCACAGUAUUGUGAUAUGAAUAUAAAUCAAGAGAAA